This 200-nucleotide ribosomal RNA is filed under the name uncultured bacterium. Its description in RNAcentral is "partial 16S ribosomal RNA". It matches the Rfam family "Bacterial small subunit ribosomal RNA", at positions 28 to 243 of the family's 1533-position model. The record is from RNAcentral.
GAUGAAUGCUGGCGGCGUGCUUAACACAUGCAAGUCGAGCGGUAAGGCCCCUUCGGGGGUACACGAGCGGCGGACGGCUGAGUAACGCGUGGGAACAUGCCCCAAAGUGAGGAAUAAGGCUCCAGAAAUGGAGUCUAAUGCCGCAUAUGAUCUUCGGAUUAAAGGAUUUAUCCGCUUUGGGAGUGGCCUGCGUACGAUUA